This 468-nucleotide ribosomal RNA is filed under the name uncultured bacterium. RNAcentral describes it as "partial 16S ribosomal RNA". It matches the Rfam family "Bacterial small subunit ribosomal RNA", at positions 28 to 507 of the family's 1533-position model. The record is from RNAcentral.
GACGAACGCUGGCGGCGUGCUUAACACAUGCAAGUCGAACGGAAAGGCCCUGCUUUUGUGGGGUGCUCGAGUGGCGAACGGGUGAGUAACACGUGAGUAACCUGCCCUUGACUUUGGGAUAACUUCAGGAAACUGGGGCUAAUACCGGAUAGGAGCUCCUGCUGCAUGGGGGGGGUUGGAAAGUUUCGGCGGUUGGGGAUGGACUCGCGGCUUAUCAGCUUGUUGGUGGGGUAGUGGCUUACCAAGGCUUUGCCGGGUAGCCGGCCUGAGAGGGUGACCGGCCACAUUGGGACUGAGAUACGGCCCAGACUCCUACGUGAGGCAGCAGUGGGGAAUAUUGCACAAUGGGCGGACGCCUGAUGCAGCAACGCCGCGUGCGGGAUGACGGCCUUCGGGUUGAAAACCGCUUUCGCCUGUGACGAAGCGUGAGUGACGGUAAUGGGUAAAGAAGCACCGGCUAACUACGUG